UACAGAGGUCCCAAGCGUUAUCCGGAUUUACUGGGCGUAAAGCGCGUGUAGGCGGUUGCGCAAGUUGUGUGUGAAAUCUCCCGGCUCAACCGGGAAACUGCACGCAAUACUGCGUGGCUAGAGUGGCAGAGAGGAAAGUGGAAUUCCCGGUGUAGUAGUGAAAUGCGUAGAUAUCGGGAGGAACACCAGUGGCGAAGGCGACUUUCUGGCUGCUAACUGACGCUGAGACGCGAAAGCUAGGGGAGCGAACGGG
This 253-nucleotide ribosomal RNA is filed under the name uncultured bacterium. RNAcentral's name for it is "partial 16S ribosomal RNA". It matches the Rfam family "Bacterial small subunit ribosomal RNA", at positions 524 to 776 of the family's 1533-position model. The record is from RNAcentral.